Molecule: ribosomal RNA, 497 nt
Filed under: uncultured bacterium
Lineage: Bacteria
Description: partial 16S ribosomal RNA
Rfam family: Bacterial small subunit ribosomal RNA
Source: RNAcentral
GACGAACGCUGGCGGCGUGCCUAAUACAUGCAAGUUGAGCGCUGAAGGUUGGUACUUGUACCAACUGGAUGAGCAGCGAACGGGUGAGUAACGCGUGGGGAAUCUGCCUUUGAGCGGGGGACAACAUUUGGAAACGAAUGCUAAUACCGCAUAAAAACUUUAAACACAAGUUUUAAGUUUGAAAGAUGCAAUUGCAUCACUCAAAGAUGAUCCCGCGUUGUAUUAGCUAGUUGGUGAGGUAAAGGCUCACCAAGGCGAUGAUACAUAGCCGACCUGAGAGGGUGAUCGGCCACAUUGGGACUGGGACACGGCCCAAACUCCUACGGGAGGCAGCAGUAGGGAAUCUUCGGCAAUGGACGAAAGUCUGACCGAGCAACGCCGCGUGAGUGAAGAAGGUUUUCGGAUCGUAAAACUCUGUUGGUAGAGAAGAACGUUGGUGAGAGUGGAAAGCUCAUAAAGUGACGGUAACUACCCAGAAAGGGACGGCUAACUACGUG